UGAGAUAUCAUCCAACUGAAAAUUACCAACUUGACCCACCGCACUUCACACAAGAGUUCACAAUUUCCUAAGAGAUACACCGCGCCAUGGGAUACAAACAGGAACCCAAGUGAGACAGAAAGACACAUUUCACGCACUUCAAUUUCCAAAUAACACACCCACAGGCUCCUCUUACAUUCUCUCCAUCUCUUUUACACACUCUUCAAUGUAAAAGCCCAUCAUACACACAAUAGCUUUUAUUGAUGCCACCACCACCUUGUUUUCAACCGGAGACGAUGUACAUAUAUCCAAUGCUAAGGACACCAUCGUUAGUGGCUGGAAAACACGCAAUCAACAACAAACGUAAUGAUGUACCAGUGCAGAAUAAUGUCUCUGUCAGAGGAGCAAGUGUUGAAGAAUCAUACAAACUUCUACCCGUCUUUUGAUCUCUUCAAUGGUGUAUUGUUGAUUGUGAGAAAAUAAAGAAAAAGCAAAAAAAAAAAAACGAAGAAGAAACAAGUUGCAAGAAUCUAAACUUACAUUAUGCAAAUACAUAGUCAAACCUAGAGGUUUUCCAACUCAGUAUACAACAAUUCUCACCCUCUAACGCUUAUUUCCCUGUUUGACAAUUUAAUCUG
Phlebotomus papatasi is the source of this 617-nucleotide long non-coding RNA. RefSeq lists it as uncharacterized. The record is from RefSeq and is a predicted model, not a curated record. Lineage: Eukaryota; Metazoa; Arthropoda; Insecta; Diptera; Psychodidae. The transcript is spliced from 3 exons.